This 492-nucleotide ribosomal RNA is filed under the name uncultured bacterium. RNAcentral describes it as "partial 16S ribosomal RNA". It matches the Rfam family "Bacterial small subunit ribosomal RNA", at positions 29 to 507 of the family's 1533-position model. The record is from RNAcentral.
AGUGAACGCUGGCGGUAGGCCUAACACAUGCAAGUCGAACGGCAGCACAGUAAGAGCUUGCUCUUACGGGUGGCGAGUGGCGGACGGGUGAGGAAUACAGCGGAAUCUACUUUUUCGUGGGGGAUAACGUAGGGAAACUUACGCUAAUACCGCAUACGACCUACGGGUGAAAGCAGGGGAUCUUCGGACCUUGCGCGAUUGAAUGAGCUGAUGUCGGAUUAGCUAGUUGGCGGGGUAAAGGCACACCAAGGCGACGAUCCGUAGCUGGUCUGAGAGGAUGAUCGGCCACACUGGAACUGAGACACGGUCCAGACUCCUCCGAGAGGCAGCAGUGGGGAAUAUUGGACAAUGGGCGCAAGCCUGAUCCAGCCAUACCGCGUGGGUGAAGAAGGCCUUCGGGUUGUAAAGCCCUUUUGUUGGGAAAGAAAAGCAGCAGGUUAAUACCCCGCUGUUCUGACGGUACCCAAAGAAUAAGCACCGGCUAACUUCGUG